CAGUCGAGGGAAUCCUUCAUUGCUUCAAGAAGCUCUCUUCUCCCUGUUCCAGAGGCAGAGGAUUCAGGUGACAGUGAUGCUGAACUGGACAGUGAUGGACUCAAAGGAGAGCGGGAGUUGGGAGACAAUAUGAUGGAGAAAAGAGCUGACAUGGAUUCUGAAGUGGUCCUGACACAGUCCAUGGUAGUGAAGAAGGAUGCCCUGUCCAAAAGAUACUACAGAAGUAAGUGUGUGUCUCUCUGGAGCUGGCUCCUGGUUUGGGUGAACUGCAUGGAUUGUAGACUGAAGGUCAAUUGAUUGAAGACA
Molecule: long non-coding RNA, 306 nt
Organism: Acipenser ruthenus (sterlet)
Lineage: Eukaryota; Metazoa; Chordata; Actinopteri; Acipenseriformes; Acipenseridae
Exons: 3
Source: RefSeq, a predicted model, not a curated record